AUGAGAUUCAAUGAACAUACAAUUAAUGAAUAUAAGCAAACGUUACAACAUAAUUACACACAAAUUAUUAGUAUAAGAGCAAAGUAUAAGGUAAAUACACAAAAGAUGAUAUAUAAUAAUCUAUAAAAGCAAUAUUUAAAGUAUAACUGCAGUGACACAUCAUGUAUUGACACAUCUAAUAACACUGUCUAAGAGAUCGACUAUAUUCUGCUACACACUGAAUAACAUGUGCAUGACACAGCUUGAGAAAUUGAACCGAUUCAUCUAUGCUUGAAAAAAUUGUCAGUGGUUUUCGACCGAGUAACAUUUGAAACAGGAUUUCGUCGUCAUACAUGUUUAAUUCACAGUAAAGCUGCACUGGAAAAUUGUCACUUAAAAUGUCCCACCAGACUUCUCGCUGUGCAUUAGUACUUGGACAAUUGCAACAAGCGUGUACAUAAACAUCUUUAAAAUUCCUUGUACAUAUAUCACAUAUAUUACUUGUUGUAUUUGGUAUUUCAGUUAGUAAUUUAGUGAUUAAAAAAGAAUUUUUAAUCUCAUUAAAAGAAUUUGAGUGUUUCCAAAAUUCUGUAAUUGUCACUGACGUAUGAAUAUUCCUAAAACGUGUGAAUCUGUCAUCUGAAAUAACACGGUUUAACCAAUUGUUUAACUGUAUACUAUCGACUGCGCUAUAAACAAUAGACUUCCAAAUUUGUUUUGUUGGAAUGUUCCAUCUUCUAUAUAGUCAAGAAGGUAACUCAUAAGUCCAUACUGUUUUAAAAUGUCAACGAUAUCAGGAAUAAAUCCGUAGUGUUUCCUUUGAGAGUCUAUAAAGAAAGUAAACAAUCUGGUGAGAAAUAUUCUCUUAGAAAGAGAGGAAAUGUCUA
Molecule: long non-coding RNA, 866 nt
Filed under: Mytilus galloprovincialis (Mediterranean mussel)
Lineage: Eukaryota; Metazoa; Mollusca; Bivalvia; Mytilida; Mytilidae
Source: RNAcentral